UGGGGAAUAUUGGACAAUGGGGGGAACCCUGAUCCAGCCAUGCCGCGUGUGUGAAGAAGGCCUUAUGGUUGUAAAGCACUUUAAGCGAGGAGGAGGGUACUGGUAUUAAUACUACCAGGUACUGGACGUUACUCGCAGAAUAAGCACCGGCUAACUCUGUGCCAGCAGCCGCGGUAAUACAGAGGGUGCGAGCGUUAAUCGGAUUUACUGGGCGUAAAGCGUGCGUAGGCGGCUAAUUGAGUCGGAUGUGAAAUCCCCGAGCUUAACUUGGGAAUUGCAUUCGAUACUGGUUUGCUAGAGUGUGGGAGAGGAUGGUAGAAUUCCAGGUGUAGCGGUGAAAUGCGUAGAGAUCUGGAGGAAUACCGAUGGCGAAGGCAGCCAUCUGGCCUAACACUGACGCUGAGGUACGAAAGCAUGGGGAGCAAACAGG
RNAcentral lists this ribosomal RNA (430 nucleotides) under Pseudomonadota bacterium. RNAcentral's name for it is "Proteobacteria bacterium partial 16S ribosomal RNA". It matches the Rfam family "Bacterial small subunit ribosomal RNA", at positions 355 to 776 of the family's 1533-position model. The record is from RNAcentral. Lineage: Bacteria; Pseudomonadati; Pseudomonadota.